RNAcentral lists this ribosomal RNA (493 nucleotides) under uncultured archaeon. RNAcentral describes it as "bacterial SSU rRNA". It matches the Rfam family "Archaeal small subunit ribosomal RNA", at positions 54 to 552 of the family's 1478-position model. The record is from RNAcentral.
CGAGUCUUUGCAGUAAUGCAAGGCAUACGGCUCAGUAACACGUAGUCAACUUACCCUAUGGACGAGGAUAAUCUCGGGAAACUGAGCAUAAUACUCGAUAGAUCAUAAUGCCUGGAAUGGUUUAUGGUUGAAAUGAUUCGUCGCCAUAGGAUGGGACUGCGGCCUAUCAGCUUGUUGGUGAGGUAAUGGCCCACCAAGGCGAUUACAGGUACGGGCUCUGAGAGGAGAAGCCCGGAGAUGGGUAUUGAGACAAGGACCCAGGCCCUAUGGGGCGCAGCAGGCGAGAAAACUUUGCAAUGUGCGAAAGCACGACAAGGUUAAUCCGAGUGAUUUCUGCUAAAGAAAUCUUUUGCAAGUCAUAAAACCACUAGUGAAUAAGGGGUGGGCAAGUUCUGGUGUCAGCCGCCGCGGUAAAACCAGCACCUCAAGUGGUCAGGAGGAUUAUUGGGCCUAAAGCCUCCGUAGCCGGCUCUGUAAGUUUUCGGUUAAAUCC